ACGGGAGGCAGCAGUGGGGAAUAUUGGGCAAUGGGCGAAAGCCUGACCCAGCAACGCCGCGUGAAGGAAGACGGUUUUCGGAUUGUAAACUUCUUUUAUCAGGGACGAAGGAAGUGACGGUACCUGAUGAAUAAGCCACGGCCAACUACGUGCCAGCAGCCGCGGUAAUACGUAGGUGGCAAGCGUUAUCCGGAUUUACUGGGUGUAAAGGGCGCGUAGGCGGGGAUGCAAGUCAGAUGUGAAAUCCAUGGGCUUAACCCAUGAAAUGCAUUUGAAACUGUAUCUCUUGAGUGUCGGAGAGGUAGACGGAAUUCCUAGUGUAGCGGUGAAAUGCGUAGAUAUUAGGAGGAACACCAGUGGCGAAGGCGGUCUACUGGAUGAUAACUGACGCUGAGGCGCGAAAGCGUGGGGAGCAAACAGGAUUAGAUACCCUGGUA
RNAcentral lists this ribosomal RNA (437 nucleotides) under uncultured Oscillospiraceae bacterium. RNAcentral describes it as "partial 16S ribosomal RNA". It matches the Rfam family "Bacterial small subunit ribosomal RNA", at positions 341 to 792 of the family's 1533-position model. Lineage: Bacteria; Bacillati; Bacillota; Clostridia; Eubacteriales; Oscillospiraceae. The record is from RNAcentral.